Long non-coding RNA from Salmo salar (Atlantic salmon), 2181 nucleotides. RefSeq lists it as uncharacterized. The record is from RefSeq and is a predicted model, not a curated record. Lineage: Eukaryota; Metazoa; Chordata; Actinopteri; Salmoniformes; Salmonidae.
AACGUUAGCAAAAUAUUUGUUGCAAGCUUUUUCUAAAUGUGCGUUAUAUUUAACAACUUUCCUUGCGUUUCCGAGUCGCCUUUAGACCCAUUGUGCCAUUUAGAAUAACAAGUGUCCCCUGCGUCACAAACUUGGUACGUUCUAGAUUCUUUCUCAUGGGAGGAUGUUAUGUAGUCAUUCUGUUAUUUAAUAGCUCAAUGGUCAGCUGCAAAGUUAUUGUGUUGCCAUUCAAUUUAUGUUGAUCAAUGUGUUUUGAUGUAAAUUGCCUCUUCUCCAGGUGCAACAUGUUGAGCAGCAUUUGAAACUAAUUCUGAGAAGUCGGUUGUACAACGCUGUCUGCAUCUGAAGCAAUUACACAGAUGUUCAUGUUUCUCAGCAGGUUUUGACAGCUGGCUGAUCCUGCCCCAGUAUAUGCUUUUAAAGAUGUUGAUGAUGAGUAUGCCAUGUCUCCUCUCCAAGGCUCAGGAAGCUCCGAUUCAAACUAGACAGCUCUGCAAGCGUUAUAAAGUCAAAAUACGUUCGUUACUCACAAAAUAAAAAUGUACACGCAAUCGAAAGAAUGCCUAUUCACUCACAUCCCAAGGAUCCCGGAUAGCACUAACUUUAAUGCUAUGCACAAGUCGGAAGUCUACGACCGCUCAAUACAUUGAAGGUGCCGAAAAGUGUUUUUUUGCUGUUGCUUGUAAAAUAUUUGUGUAUCCUUUUUUGGAAGUACAAAAAGUACUACGGGAGUAAAUUAAGUUAGUUGCUCAGCGAAACCCCUACAUUGGUUAAAUACCGAACGUAUUUUUACAUAACUGUGUGUCUAAUGAGAGUUUGAAUAGGAGCUUCGUGUUAGAGACGAGACACUUGUCGCUGACAUCUCUAAAGCACAGAUACUGGGUAAUUAGCCUGUUAAUUACACAGAUACUGGGUAAUUGGCCUGUUAGGUUGAAUAGUACAUCUGGAACAACACGUUUUCCUACCAGUCAUUUAGAUGUUGUUGGUUUGGGCCAUGCAUCUAUCUCGGAUUUGGAAUUUGCUUUAACAUUGGUGCUGACUACGCUGUAAAUCUUGGAAAUAAAUGGGGUGCCCAGUAUAGAGAACCUGCACAGAGGAGUGGACAGAGGAGUGGAGUUCGCACUCAGUCACCGGGAAAAGGGCUCCGGUGUCAAUGUCCACUGUAAGGCUGGACGCUGUCGCAGUGCUACACAAGCUGCUGCAUACAUCAUACGGAUUCACUGCUAGGGUCCAGAGGAAGCAUGUCAGAUGUUGGCCUCUAUCCGACCACAUGUAAUAAUUUCUUCUACACAGCUGGAGAUGCUUCGGCAGGUACCAUCAGCAAGUCUGUGGCGGGGGGGUUCCAUUUAAGAUUGUUGAGAGGCUGCCAGCAUACUUUAUUGCACUCCUACAGAAACUGUAAAAUGAGCUUUGUCAAAACAAACCAUAUUCUUCUUGAAGAGUUUUUUUGACCUUGAGCUUAUUCUUUAUUACAUUGUUUUGUUACUCAACUGGAUCAAGGGCAUUGUAUAAUUCAAAUGUUUUAUCACAGCUCAUCAGAACAUGGGGUAUAAUAAAAUGCAAUCCCCAUCAAAGUACUGACAGCUGGGUGAGGGGGUGGGGUGUGUGUAUUUAAAAACAUGUUUCUACGUAACAUUUUUUCCUCCUUAAUAGGGAAUUUGAUUACAAUUUCUAUGUUAAGCAAAUUUUUGUAUGUUACAAAUUUCACUGAUUGUGUGUGUUUAUGUAUAUAUUGGUGAUACGGGAAUAAUAUGUUCAAAGGUAAAUGAUUAAAGAAUCCAACCCUGUCACGUAACUAAUUAGUAGUUAUGUAGCAUGUAUAAUGAAUAAUUAAAGUUCUAAUCGAAAGGCCCAUAAGGUCUAGUAGAGGCCCGGGACAAAAAUGAAAUGUGUGUGUAUUAGUGUGCCUAAGAAAAUAGUAGACAGUGUUUGACCCGACCUAGUGAGGAACUUUGAGUAACUUAGAGAAGAAAGGGAGUGACCCUCAAGGUCUCUCUAAUCUCGGGGGAAAGGAACAGACGCACUGGCUAGUGGUUAACAGUGGUGAGAACUCCAGGGAGGGAUACAACUCACCUACUGUUUGUGUGGAGGUAUGUGCGUAAGUGGAGAGUUAGCAUAAAAUGAAUGUCUUUGUUAUUUGGACCUCAGAACGUUCUCUGAAUAAACUGUAUGAACAUUUUG